This 305-nucleotide ribosomal RNA is filed under the name uncultured bacterium. Its description in RNAcentral is "bacterial SSU rRNA". It matches the Rfam family "Bacterial small subunit ribosomal RNA", at positions 336 to 633 of the family's 1533-position model. The record is from RNAcentral.
UUCCUACGGGGCGCAGCAGUAGGGAAUCUUCCACAAUGGGCGAAAGCCUGAUGGAGCAACGCCGCGUGGGUGAAGAAGGUCUUCGGAUCGUAAAACCCUGUUGUUAGAGAAGAAAGUGCGUGAGAGUAACUGUUCACGUUUCGACGGUAUCUAACCAGAAAGCCACGGCUAACUACGUGCCAGCAGCCGCGGUAAUACGUGGGUGGCAAGCGUUGUUCGGAAUAACUGGGCGUAAAGGAUGCGUAGGCGGUUAAACAAGUUAUAUGUUAAAUAUUUAGGCUUAACCUGUAGAAAGCAUAUAAAAC